AUUGAACGCUGGCGGCAGGCUUAACACAUGCAAGUCUAGCGGGGGAAGGUAGCUUGCUACCGGACCUAGCGGCGGACGGGUGAGUAAUGCUUAGGAAUCUGCCUAUUAGUGAGGGACAACAUCUCGAAAGGGAUGCUAAUACCGCAUACGUCCUACGGGAGAAAGCAGGGGAUCUUCGGACCUUGCGCUAAUAGAUGAGCCUAAGUCGGAUUAGCUAGUUGGUGGGGUAAAGGCCUACCAAGGCGACGAUCUGUAGCGGGUCUGAGAGGAUGAUCCGCCACACUGGGACUGAGACACGGCCCAGACUCCUACGGGAGGCAGCAGUGGGGAAUAUUGGACAAUGGGGGGAACCCUGAUCCAGCCAUGCCGCGUGUGUGAAGAAGGCCUUAUGGUUGUAAAGCACUUUAAGCGAGGAGGAGGCUACUCUAGUUAAUACCUAGGGAUAGUGGACGUUACUCGCAGAAUAAGCACCGGCUAACUCUGUGCCAGCCGCCGCAGUAA
Molecule: ribosomal RNA, 501 nt
Filed under: uncultured bacterium
Lineage: Bacteria
Description: partial 16S ribosomal RNA
Rfam family: Bacterial small subunit ribosomal RNA
Source: RNAcentral